This is a long non-coding RNA of Hylaeus volcanicus, 5380 nucleotides long. RefSeq lists it as uncharacterized. The record is from RefSeq and is a predicted model, not a curated record. The transcript has 5 exons. NCBI's taxonomy places the organism in Eukaryota, Metazoa, Arthropoda, Insecta, Hymenoptera, Colletidae.
CGGUUCUGGAACUGCAGAUAACGAGGAAGCGUUAAUUAGAUGGUUCGGCGCGAGGAAAGAAGGAUGCAAGGAGGCAAGAUUCAACUUGACACAGCAAAGUGGAAAGUUCCUCAAAGGUUAGUUGCUAUUCCUCUAUUGUACGUCGUAGAUGCCUUUUCAUGGAUUUCACGGCUGCUUCCCAGAGGCCGCCGAAGUGCGGAGAAUACGGUGGUUUUGAAGCUCCAUUCCGUUCCGUCUGUAGCCAAUAACUCCGCUGUUUCCUUAUAGAAUUUCGCUGCAGCGUUGAACAUGCGUUUCAGAAGCUGAUCGGCACCUCUGAACGUCGUGGCGUUGUCGCUCAGCAGUCGUUGGCAUUUUUCACGUCGUGCUACGAAACGUUUGAAAGCGGCGAUGAAGGAAGCUGAGGACAAAUCAGAAACAACAUCUAAAUGAACGGCUUUAGAACAGAGACAGACAAACACAACGAUGUAUCCCUUCGUGGAACGCUGAUCCCUCGCUCUCGACAUGAGCAUCUGAAUAGGGCCAGCAUAAUCAACCCCGCUGAUUGAGAAUGCCCUAGCUGGUUGUACUCGCUGAGCAGGAUUUUGUCUCGCGGAAUCCAAUGGUGAAGCCUAAGGUUCGCCUGAGUCAGGUUCACUCCGCCAUGAAGAGUCCGCAGAUGAGCUGACCCUAUCAACAAUGACGCCAAGGGUGAUCGUCGAUCGAUAAUGACAGGGUGACGCUGAUCGAAUGACACCAAGCCUCGUUGAUCUCGUCAGCGGUCAAGAACCCAUGUCGCCGGUUGUUGACGGAACGAGCGUUAUGAGCGAAGCGUCGCAUAUACGCGGUUACCCUGACCAACUUCAACGCUGAGAGGAACCGGAGCGGAUCCCAAGGCGAUUCGAAGACGGCUAGCAGACUGGGAUGAUCGUUAGGUUGCGUGUUCCUGGUCGUCGUCGUCACGGUCACUCUGCGUUCCGGUGCCUCGUUCUCGUCGACCUCGGGUGUGCCAGGCCAGUCUUCCUGAGACCUCGAUAGCCAAGAGGGUCUCGUCCACCAGAGUGCAUCGUUGGCCAAUGCGUGCGCGGACACUCCACGCGUGGCAAGGUCCGCCGGAUUCUCGUGUGUCCGCGUGUGUCGCCACUCAAUGUCUGGCAGCAGGCGCUGAAUCUCGGCGACCCGAUGCGCCACAAAGGGUUUCCACCUGGAAGCAUGAGACUUUACCCAGGCUAGGACGACAGAUGCAUCGGUCUACGCAUGCAUCGUCGCACUAUGAGGUCACAACGAUUCCCCUACUGCUCUCAGCAAUCGGGUCAGGAGUAGAGCACCGCACAGCUCCAGUCGGGGGAUACUCUGCGGCUUCGUUAGAGCAACUUUUGUUUUUUCCAUCAGCAGGUGAGUUUUGGCCAUCGCACCAGCGACUGGCACCCUUAUGAAAACAAUUGCCGAAUACGCUCUUUCGGAAGUGUCGCUGAACCCAUGUAAUUCCAAGUGACCGCUAGAUGCCCCACGGUAGCCGAUCCAUCUCGAAACGGUGAUUCGAUCGGUCCUUCCGAUCUCGACUCGAAGCUGCUUCCAUCGUUCGGCAAACAGCUCAGACAGUGGCUCAUCCCAGAACAUCCCAGACAACCAAAGAUCCUGCAACAAGAUCUUCGCCGCGACAGUAAUUGGAGACAACCAGCCUAAUGGAUCAAAGAGACUGGCCAUCUCGGACAGGACCAAUCGUUUGGUCCAUCGUUGUUCCGGUGCUGCAGGCGGGAGCUUCGGAGAUGCAAGAGACAGCGUAUCGUUUGCUGUACUCUAUUUAAGGCCCAAAGUUCCGGUUUCCUGGUGACCCUGCAACAAAUUAACAAAACCGGGACUCGAAGGCGAGUAGUUUGUUGCCCACUUGUCCAGCGGAAAACCGCCCGCCGUCAGGAUGUCCAUGAGUUGACGUCGAGCCUCCUCUGCGUCCUCGAUGUCCUCUCCUCCGGCCAGAAUAUCAUCGACGUAGGAAUUGUUUCGGAGUAUCGCUGCACCCCGCGGAUAUCGAGCCUCCUCAUCGACAGCAAGCUGGAGCAGGACUCUGGUGGCGAGACGAUCCUUUGCCAGUCUCUAUCCUCCGGGUGCACCUUGAUCUGGUGGAACAUUUUGACAAUGUCCGUAGAGAACGCCUGUCGAUGGAAACGCCACCUCGUUAUUAUGGCCCAGAGGUCAGGUUGAAGCUUCGGUCCAGCAGCCAGAUCCAUCCUCGCGCCACACGGUGUGAUGCGGGAGGUAAUUCCUCCCCUCCCCCUCGACAGACGAGUACUUCGAGACUGCCUCCAUAUGUCUCAGCCGCUCGUACUCCUCCAGAAAUUCAGCGUAUUUCUGUCGGAGCAUAUCGUCCUUCUCUCGUCGUCUCUCUGAAGAAACGAGCAGGCGAACGGCAAUAGUCCGCGAGACCCCGACAUCGGCGCCCGGAGUGGUGGUGAACGGCAACCGGACAACGUAUCGACCUUCCUGAUCCCUGUGUACCUCUGCCAAUCGUCGCGAGAGUCUCGUGCCGGCUGAACGAGUAGGGAUCGCACGCGACGUUCAUCUCCUUCGUUAACCGGGGAUGUCGUUGAACCCAUCGGAGCCCAGCCGAAGGGCGUUCUCACGAUCGGCGGAGUACCCUUUGGUCCGACCCGAUUUUCAAGGAGGAGAUGCCCACACGCUUCUGCCCCUAGAAGCAGUUCCACCCUAUUUGGAGAGCGAAACUCUUCGUCGGCCAACGGAAGUCCAUGAAGGUGAGUCCACUUUUCGUCAUCAAUUUCUACCGCAGGAGUUGGAGCAGUUAUUUUUUGAGUCACCAAAGCGUUUAACGGGAGUUAAAAAUCAGAGUCGCGACUAGACGUGAGUAACACGGAUACUUUGUGACGUACCGUUCCCACGUUUAUUUUCUGGUACCCCGUUAAAUGCACUUCUACGUUCCGACGCGGUAGACGUAGCGCUUGUACAAUGUCAUCGGUGACGAAUGACAUUUCGGAACCGGGGUCGAGUAGCGAGGGCGCGAAAACACUGCGCCCACACGGUGAUUUUAAUUGAACGCGCGCGGUGGUCAGGAAAACGACUCGGUUCAUGCGAAACGUAUUCACGGAAGACGUGCUUGGCUUCGCGUUAGCUUCACCUUUCGGGAACGCUUCGUGAAGUGACGUGUGGUGAAGACCGCCGCACACCAUACAGCGGUACGAAGACGGGCACUCCGCGGCAGUAUGAUUCUCCGAAAAACACGAUAUGCACAGUUUCGCGCGAAAAACAAAGUUCUUUCGUUCCUGGGGAUUAAAGUUUCAAAAUUGUCCGCAAUGUGCUAAGAGGUGACCUUCCGAAUACAGGGAACACUUUCGGUUAGGUUUUCCCUUCGGAGGGUUUUUUUUGUCACCUGAACCGUCAUAGCUGCUCUCUUCUCGGUUCUUCGCGACUCCUCUCGCUUAGGGAUCGUCGGCGCGGUUUCCGGCUCUUCAUUCGCGGCCAGAGCAUGGAUUCGAGACUCGAAAAAGUCUCGAAUUUGUUCGAAUGACGGCAUAACCGUCGGAUCAGGGAGUGUUUUUUCCCAGUCUAGGCUAGUGAUCGAAUCUAACUUCCGAACAAUUAAAACGACGAACCAAUCAUUCCAAGUAUCGACGGGUUUAUUUAACGCGGCCAGAGAAUCUCGAGCUUGGCAGAAUUUGUUAAGGACGCGGAUCAACUCCUCCUUUGUAGCGCGUUUUAUCGCUGGGCAGUCCACAAGUCUCCCAAUAUGAGCCUUUGUUAACACCCGAAUCCCUCCGUAACGACGCUCGAGAGCCGCCCACGCGGUCGCGUAAUUCGCAUCGGUCAACGAGGUUCUAGCAAUCACCUUCGCAGCCUCACCGGUGAGAUUCGCUUUCAAAUAUUGCAGGCGUUGAACGUCCCGCAAUUGUUUCGAGUUGUGGAUCGUGGCGCGACGCGAAUCUCAAAAUUCCUCCCAUCGUAGGAGAUCGCCCAAAAACUUUUCGAUUGAAAGAAUCGGUAAACUAGGACCCUUAUUGCACUCGCGGUGAUCGGCUUCCAACGAAUUCGCGACAAUGGAUGGUUUUACAUCUUCCAACCUUUUCUCCAAAUCGGUUGAAUUUUGAAUGUACGCCUCUUCGAUUUCGUCAAAGAGACGCGUUUUUUGAUAGUCGCUGGUGCUAAAUUCGGCCGUCGCGGACAAUGCACGAUGAUUUGCGACGAAUUCCUUCCAAUAAUUGUCCAACAAGAUAAUUCGCUUCCGAAUAGCGGUCGCGGUCAGUUUCGCGGACCCUAAUUUAAGGUUUUUUAUAUCUUCUUGGUUGAAUGCAUGAGGAGGAAUUACAACACAGCAGCGCCCUAAUCUGUCUUGUGGAACACAAUUCUUCAGAUCACAAUCGAAUAAAUAUCCUUCUGCGCAAUUUUGACUAAGUACUUUUGUUCCUGUCGGUCCACACAUAUAAUACUUGCUACAAUCAUAAUCGUGAGGCAAUAAUUCAUCUGGUACACAAUGACCUCUCCAACAUUUGGUGCGCGACGUAAUAUCGCACACCUUCCUCUCGUAAUCGUAAUAGUAUCCCUGUUCACACCUUCUAAGGUAUUAUCGAACUCCAUUCGUUGCGCAUUCGUAAUACUCGGUACAAUGGCACUCGUGAGGUACACGUAGUCCUGGAUAACACAUCAGGUUGGGUUUUGGAGUUGUAGUGGUUGUUGCAGUGCUGAUGGUAGUCGAAAGUACACCAGCGGCCAGUGCCAAGAUGGCGACGAUCGGUAAGUUCAUUUCUGAAACAAAAAUAACAUUAACCGAUUAGAUUUUCCACCCCUGCUGUGACAGGAUUUAUCCUAUUGCGAUUAAAAAAAAAAUAUAAAGUGACUUUUCGCAUAAUGAUAAUCAAGACGUUACUUGUAUAUGAUAUCAAACCAGAAAAAUUAAGGGGUUAGUCGCAGUCAGGAAAAUGAAAACGGCCACUUUCUUGUGUGUGUGUUUUUUAAGGUAUUAAAUAAUAAUUUUUAUGAAUGAAAUGUAAAUAUAUUACAAAGUAUAUCUUAAAGAACUAUAAAACAAUUUUUGUUUUACAAAAAGGUUAAUUCAUUUCGUCAUAACAGGCGAUGGCGUGGGUGGCCACUCUGGUUUGCGGUGAGCAAGAUUUCUUCAAUCUGGUGCACCUGAAAACGAAACUAAAGGUAGAUUUAGAAAAUAUAUUAGACUAACGAGUCCCUGAUCGAAGGAUUCUUUAUUUUCUUAUAUACUUUUCUUUUUAUUCUCUAUUUAAUCACUUAAUUUUAUAAUGAAAAUUGAACUUCAACUUCAAAAUAGCAUAUUCCAGUAAUUCCUAAACUGUGAGCCGCCGCGUCUUCACAGGGGAGCGAUGAUAUAUUGUAAAUAUGUAAAAUGUAAUACGUAAAAAUGUAAGAGAAAGAAAAAUAAAUA